CACAGGGGCAAGGUCAUGGGGCCCAGGUCACGGGGCCCAGGUCACGGGGGCGAGGUCACAGGGCAAGGUCACGGGGGCUCAGGUCACGGGGGCGAGGUCAUGGGGCCCAGGUCACGGGGGCAAGGUCAUGGGGGCAAGGUCACAGGGGCGAGGUCAUGGGGCCCAGGUUAUGGGGGCAAGGUCAUGGGGCCCAGGUCACGGGGGCAAGGUCAUGGGGCCCAGGUCACGGGGGCGAGGUCACGGGGGCAAGGUCACGGGGGCGAGGUCACGGGGGCAAGGUCAUGGGGCCCAGGUCACGGGGGCGAGGUCACGGGGGCAAGGUCACAGGGACAAGGUCACGGGGGCAAGGUCAUGGGGCCCAGGUCACGGGGGCAAGGUCACGAGAGCUUGGGUGCUGCUCUGCCCUGGUGGGGCCUUCAGGGGCUUCCUGGGUCCCUUGAGGUUGGGGGGAGGGAGAGCAGGGCUUGGAGCAUGGCCAUGGGGCUUCCAGAGAGGUCCAGGUCUCGCUCCAGGGGGCCAGUCUCGGGACCCCUCCCUCACCACCUCCCUCCAGGAGACCCCACAUGAGCCCGGGCCUCCCCUGCCUGGGCCUUGGGGGCUGUGCAGGGAGGCACAUAUUUACACACACGCUCCCAGCCCGGGGCAGGAAAGGGUGCCCAGUGCCCGGGGCCCAUAAGGAAGCCUCUGUGCCCGGGGCUGCUCAGUUUGGCCACUCUGCCCCGGCCCAGACCAUCUAUGCCAGCGGGGGAGGUGGUUCAGAGGCUCCAGGGCCGGGCCUGGUGCAGAGAGGGCUGGGCAGGGCCCCCCGGUGGGCCCCCCACGCCCGCCCCAGGCAGGGGCCGGGGAGGCUUGUUCCUCUGGGUCCUGGCUCACCAAGGCCAGCCUUGCUCCGGUGCUGAGCAGCUUGCCAGGAAAUUAUCUCUACUGGGUGGGCUGGGCUGAAGCUCCUGCAGACGGGAAGGAGCUCGAGAGGGGCCCAGGGGUGCAGCCCCCAGCUGCAGGCCCACCCCCCCCAGCUGGCAAGCGUGUGCCCAGUGGGCAUCGGGGUGACACGUUUGUCUCAUUUCCUCUCCAGGUGAACGGCACGGACCAGGCCGAGUCGGCAGCCCAGUCCCCCGGCCAGGAAGGAAGGCAGGGGCCCCUGAGCGAGGGGCCCAACCCCCACCGACCGACUCUGCUGUCCGGCUCCCCUCCCCCAGCCCAGACCCAUGGGCCUGACCACAGCCCUGGCGAGCAGCCACCUCCCAGCCCCCCUCCCCACAGCCUGGAGCAGUUCCCCCACAUGCAGGCCCUCAUUUAACCUCCACAGGGGGCACGGCCGGCCCCCACGGCCCCCAACACCCCCCCCAGCUCAUUCCUGAGGGACCACUGAGGUGUCCCUGGGGUCACGGUCACUACGGGGAUCUGUGCCCAUCAAGGCCCGGCCUUGGUGAGCCCCAGACCUCACCCACCACCCUCCCUCCCUCCAUUAAUGACGCCCACGGUGCAACCCCGAGAAGCGGCCACGGCGGGCUGACGCCACAUAGGGAGGAGGGAUGAGGAAGAGUCCGUUGUGCACCCCCAGGGUGACCACAAGCCAGUGGGGGGCCCAACCAGUGCCGGGGGCUGGGAAAUGGCCAAUAAACUCGGCUGCCUGCAGCUGCCUCACUGGUCUGCUUGGGGGCUUUCGGGGGGCCGGGCGGGAGGCAGGGCCCCAGGAUGUGAGAGAGUAUGUACAUGGGGCAGUGUGAGAGAAAACGUGAGGGGCCGCACCCACAGCAGAAUCAGGGGGAGGUCGAGGAGAGUGUGAGAGGGGCUUCCUGGAGGAGGCGGCCCUGAGAGGGCUGGGAGGAGCCCAAGGUCAGGGCUGACUCAGGGCCCAGCCCUCUCCUCCCCUGACUUGCAGCAGCAGCAGGGCUGGACCCUAACCCGGGGCCCCUUCUGUGACUUUCUGGGGAGAAAUAGGUCCUGCCCCUGUACGGGCCCCUUGGGAACCCCCGCAGCCCCAGAUCUGGCUCCCUCGUCCCAAGCCCUCCCGGGAUCGUCCCUCUGGGACAGAAGGCUGGCCCAGAGCUCCGAGGGCCGGGCCCACGUCUCCCUUCUCUCACGGGGCUCCCGCCGAGGGCCGACUCUCAGCCCUGCUGUCCUUGCUCUGCCCCACGGGUGGGGGUGGGGGGACCAGGAACCCCACAGCGACAUCCCUGCAAGCCUCCCCUGGAAUGCCUCUAGGGACGGGGAGCUCCCUACCUCACCUCCAGAGGCAGCCCCACUGCCUCUGUACUCCCCCCCGCCCAGAGGCUCCUCGGGGCCAAGCAGACAAGGCUAGAGCCCCUUCUGGCGAGGACCCUUUGAGACCCUUGAAGGCGGCUCUCGGGGUGUGAGAGAGAGACUGGCUUUGCACAGAGGGCCAGGGUUUGAAUCCUGCCUGACUCCUGGGGGCUCCUUCUGGGCCCAGUCUCCUCCUCUGCACAAUGAGCCUGGGACUUGGAGCCUCUCCCGGGGCAGCCCCCUGCCCCCGAGCUUGGGCUUGGUCCCAGGCCCCAAAAACCCUCCAUUUACUUCAACAAGCUUGAGCUCGCCGGCACCACCUUGUGGCCAAACAUGGAUCCUCAACAAAGGCAGGGGAACAGGCAUUUAUUAAGCACCGACUGUGUACCAGGUUCUGUCCUGAGCGCUCAUGGCUCAGGAAGCAGGUGCUCUGAUUGUCCCCAUUCUACAGAUAAGGAAACUGAGGUAGCAGAGGUGGAGGAGCUUGCCCAAGCAGGCCUCCCUGACUCCCAAGCCAGCUUAGGGGCCUCUGGGAGGGGCCUUUACCACAGUUUCCCUGGUGGAGGCCCCAUGGAGGGCCCUCUCCCAGAUGCGCUAUCUCCCCUCCUCUGGCCCCCUGCCUUCUCUAAUCUUCUUCCCCCGAUGGCCCCCAGGAGUCGGCUCUGGGGGGGCCCCUGUGAGCUCUGGCCCCUGGAGGGGUGGGGGGGUGACGGGCCCCGGAGCGGGCUGGGGGCUGAGGUGGGACUUCCUGGCGGACGGUCUCCGGUCAGGGCGGGGGGCGGGGCCGUCACUGGGCGGAGCUGGCGGGAG
Long non-coding RNA from Sarcophilus harrisii (Tasmanian devil), 3057 nucleotides. The record is from Ensembl. Lineage: Eukaryota; Metazoa; Chordata; Mammalia; Dasyuromorphia; Dasyuridae.